RNAcentral lists this ribosomal RNA (468 nucleotides) under uncultured bacterium. RNAcentral describes it as "partial 16S ribosomal RNA". It matches the Rfam family "Bacterial small subunit ribosomal RNA", at positions 28 to 507 of the family's 1533-position model. The record is from RNAcentral.
GACGAACGCUGGCGGCGUGCUUAACACAUGCAAGUCGAACGGAAAAGCCGCCUCUUGCGCUGCUCGAUCGGCGACCGGCUGAGUAACACGAGGUUAACCAACCCUCCCCGAUGCGGUAACUUCAGCUGGCUGCGGCUACUACCACUUAAUACCUGCUGCUGCGGGGUCUUCAUUGGCUGGAUACAUCGGCGGGCGGGGAUGGACUCGCGGCUUAUCAGCUUGUUGGUGGGGUAGCGGCUCACCAAGGCGUCGACGGGUAGCCGGCCUGAGAGGGUGACCGGCCACAUUGGGACUGAGAUACGGCCCAGACUCCUACGGGAGGCAGCAGUGGGGAAUAUUGCACAAUGGGCGGAAGCCUGAUGCAGCAACGCCGCGUGCGGGAUGACGGCCUUCGGGUUGUAAACCGCUUUCGCCUGGGAAGAAGCGAGAGUGACGGUAAUGGGUAAAGAAGCACCGGCUAACUACGUG